RNAcentral lists this ribosomal RNA (162 nucleotides) under uncultured bacterium. Its description in RNAcentral is "partial 16S ribosomal RNA". It matches the Rfam family "Bacterial small subunit ribosomal RNA", at positions 393 to 539 of the family's 1533-position model. The record is from RNAcentral.
CAUGCCGCGUGUGUGAAGAAGGCUUUCGGGUUGUAAAGCACUUUCAGUGAGGAGGAAGGCCUUAAGGUUAAUACCCUUGAGGAUUGACGUUACUCACAGAAGAAGCACCGGCUAACUCCGUGCCAGCAACUUCGGUGACUGAGCGGGCUGGCAAGGCGCAUA